CAUUGCUAUUAUGAUGGCGGAUUGCACCGUCAUAGUUUUAUUUGUAACCUUUUGCUUGUGUGUGCGCUGAUGCACUUCCUUGUGUGUGUGUG
This is a long non-coding RNA of Etheostoma spectabile (orangethroat darter), 92 nucleotides long. RefSeq lists it as uncharacterized. The record is from RefSeq and is a predicted model, not a curated record. The transcript has 3 exons. Lineage: Eukaryota; Metazoa; Chordata; Actinopteri; Perciformes; Percidae.